UUCUGUAAGUGUCCGACUUCAAAGGUCUUUUUUGACCCCUCCCCUUACUGCAGCCGCCUAUUCUCGCCUACAUUUCAGGCGAGGCAAGGAGCAUCUCAAACAAACCUAUUGUGUGCGAAGCCUGCAUUUACCGCUUCAAGGGUACAAAGGAGGCGCUGCUGAGCACACAACAGAGCAUUAAAAUGCUGAAUGGGACGGCCUACGGACUCGUAGACUCGGCGAGCAUGCGCAAUUUAAGUCCACAAGACCGAAAGUCCACAUGAAGUGCGCCAUUUGGGACAGGGCCACAGCCGCCUCGCCAUCGCGAGAGUUUUUUUGCACAGAAUUGCUCGUUUUUGUUUUUAUGAUUUACUCAUAAUGGAGGAGACGGUGAUGAACCUCAGAUUUAGCCAAGACCGAGUCCAGAGCAGACCCCUGUACUGCAGCAUAAAGCUGAAUGUGGCAGCGCUGGACAGGUGUUGAAUGGUUUUGUUCUGAGCAGGGAGACCCUGACAGUGCUGCUGGAUCUACUGGGAAGUGAACGGCAACAGUGAUGGUGUGCCAUGAUCCAGACCCUGGUGUUUCUCUUCUGUCUGCCAGCGGUACAUCAUACAGAUGAUCUCCAGAGUGUUUGACAUGUCCCUCGUUCCACUGUCACCGCAUUGUCCUCCUAGUCUCUGAGGAGGUGCUGGCCAUUCACCAAGAGAUUCACCUCCUGAAGACCCCAGAACACACGGAGGCAGGGCCGGGCUCAAACUGAUGUUGUUUUGCUGAUGUUAAACCUAAGCUAUGUUGUAAAUGAUUGUAAAAACUACUUUCUAUUAUGUAUAGAACAAUUUGUUUUAAUGUGUAAAAAAGUAUUUACAGGACAAACAAAUAAACAUAUAAAAGAACGUUUUGUGAAAAAAAUUAUAAACUACAUGAAAAAAAAAUUAAUGUACAUAAGCACUUUUCUUUUAUUUACACGUGAAUAUGCAAAACAAAAAUACAAAAUGUACAGAAAGUACUCAGGCUUAUUUACGAAUAAAUUACACACACAAAAAAUGAUUAAUGUAUACAAUUUAUACAUUUCAUUUUUAACUUGCAUCACAAAAAUAAACUACAGAAAUUAGGUUGUUUCAUUGACAAUAUGACAUUUAAAAAAUAUAUUGGAAAAACUGUAAUGUACUCUGUUUUCUCUUGGCUAAUGAAGAAUGUAUUUGUUUGAGUUUGAUGUCCUCCCUGUCCACUCGCUCCCUCACCUGUCUCAGGACACUUCACAAAUAAACCAUGCCUGUUAACAACAAAAACACAUGCUCACUUUCUCCAGAAUAGUAUUAAAAAAAAUGGAAACACUUAUGAAAAAAGACAGGUUUGCAAUCUUAACAUUAGAAAAUAUGACACAGCAGGACAUGCAUACAAAAUACUGAAGUGCUAAAGUUUGGUUAAAACAUUUGUAGACAUCUCUUGCAUGACAGCACUUCAAAAACACAACAAAGGGAAAGACCAUUGCCUUAUAUAGUGGCUGUCUUAUUGUUUGUGGGCUUUAUGUAAAAAAAAAGCCUGGCUUUAAACAUUUUCGCUAGGUAUUUGAGUAGAUGAAAACACAAUACUUACAUUUCAAUGUGAAGUCCU
Molecule: long non-coding RNA, 1593 nt
Organism: Cyprinus carpio carpio
Lineage: Eukaryota; Metazoa; Chordata; Actinopteri; Cypriniformes; Cyprinidae
Source: Ensembl